UAAUGGGCGGGGAUGUUUAUAAGGA
RNAcentral lists this non-coding RNA (25 nucleotides) under Mus musculus (house mouse). Lineage: Eukaryota; Metazoa; Chordata; Mammalia; Rodentia; Muridae. The record is from RNAcentral.